AGCUCGGCCACACUAACGGGUGACUUUUUUCGCCGCUCAAACUUGCAGGACGCACGUAGUGCUCCGUGCGGCGCUGUUAGGCUGAAGAGCUGCAGUGCGAAGCCCUCAGUCCGUCCGCGUAAGAGGGAGGAAAAGAGCGGGAAAAGAGCAGAAAAAGAGCGGGAAAAAGAGCGGGAAAAAGAGCGGGAAAAGUCCAUUUCGGGAGCGGUCCCGCAGCCAAGUCCACUGCGCGAGUGAGCAAGAGCAACGCGAGCCGGACGCGGACUAGUACCAGCAGUAAAACUGAAAAUGAUGAAGAGGCAGGGAAAUGAACGCUACAGAGAUGGAAGAAGCAGGGGAAAAAGUGUGCUGCUAAGAGACAAGAGGAAGCAGGGAUAGAGUCGGAGAGGGAGCUUGUGGAGAAGCUCUGCCGACACAACACACUUCGAACCAGAAUCAGAUGAACAAAAACACAGUCGUUGCCCACCAGCUAUGUGAACAGGUGGGAGUAAAGAACGGACGAGCAGCGUGGGGCCACCUCAACUCAACUCACCGCCGCAGUGUU
Molecule: long non-coding RNA, 544 nt
Organism: Scleropages formosus (Asian bonytongue)
Lineage: Eukaryota; Metazoa; Chordata; Actinopteri; Osteoglossiformes; Osteoglossidae
Exons: 3
Source: RefSeq, a predicted model, not a curated record